AUGAAGCCAGCGAGGAUGUUCCCGUGCCGGCCGCUGGUGUCCCCGCAGCUGCCGCGGGCCCUCGCAGCCGCGGCGCAUGUCUCCGUGCGGCGGCUGCCGUGGCCGUCGACGUCGCUGCGCGUGGUGUGGUGCAUGCCCAAGGAGCGGCGGGUGCGGAUGGUGGCAAAGCAGAUCCAGCGGGAGCUGGCGGACAUGUUAACCCGCGACCCCGUCAUGCCGCGCGCCGUCCUCCCCGAGGCCGCCCUCGGCGCCGACCGCUACCUCUCCUCCGUCACCACCGUCGCGGACGUGUGCAAGGUGUAUGUGUCCGUGUUCGGGGACGAGAGGGGGAAGAAGGUGGGCAUGGCCGGGCUCAAGGACAAGACCAAGUACGUCAGGAGCCAGAUUGGCAAGCGGAUGAAGCUGCGCCUCACGCCCGAGAUACGGUUCAUCGAAGACGAGUCCAUGCAGCGCGGAAGCAGGUCUUUUAUGGGAGUAUGUACUUCUCUUAUCUAUUAUGGGAGUAUAAACUUAAUAGACAGAAUAAAGAGAAGAGAGUGUACUUAA
This 546-nucleotide ribosomal RNA is filed under the name Triticum aestivum (bread wheat). Its description in RNAcentral is "partial small subunit ribosomal RNA". The record is from RNAcentral. Lineage: Eukaryota; Viridiplantae; Streptophyta; Magnoliopsida; Poales; Poaceae.